GGCAAAGAUGAUUAAGUGCUUAAUAUUCUGACACCUCUUGUAUGAGAAUAGCGAAAGCUGUUCCUUGAGCACAUAAAGCUACACUCUGAGCCUUCGUCAUUUAAUUUCUUUUUGUUGUAUUUGACAAAUGUUUUGUGAGUUUAUCGAUCAGAAAUUCAGGCAACCACCUUUCGUAAAUCGCUCGAAUGGUAGGUGUUGUUCUGUUCGUAAAUCAAUUUCUUUUGCUCUUCAGAUUUGUUGAGAUUCAUCGUCUAUGAAGCUGGUCUAGUAAGCAAAAGUACAUU
This 284-nucleotide long non-coding RNA is filed under the name Helianthus annuus (common sunflower). Its description in RNAcentral is "sRNA HanXRQr2_Chr14g0654201". The stretch from base 158 to 284 matches the Rfam family "Small nucleolar RNA snoR77". The record is from RNAcentral. Lineage: Eukaryota; Viridiplantae; Streptophyta; Magnoliopsida; Asterales; Asteraceae.